Molecule: transfer RNA, 65 nt
Filed under: Rhabdoblatta melancholica
Lineage: Eukaryota; Metazoa; Arthropoda; Insecta; Blattodea; Blaberidae
Description: tRNA-Phe
Source: RNAcentral
AUUUAAAUAGCUUAAUAAGAGUAUAACACUGAAGAUGUUAUGGUGAUUAAUAAAAUCUUUAAAUG